GUAGGGUGCAAGCGUUGCCCGGAUUUAUUGGGCGUAAAGGGCGCGUAGGCGGCUCGGCACGUCCGUUGUGAAAUCGCCCGGCUCAACUGGGCGGGGUCAGCGGAUACGGUCGAGCUCGAGCAAGCUAGGGGGCAAUGGAAUUCCCGGUGUAGUGGUGGAAUGCGUAGAUAUCGGGAGGAACACCAGUGGCGAAGGCGGUUGCCUGGGGCUUUGCUGACGCUGAUGCGCGAAAGCGUGGGGAGCGAUCCGGAUUAGAUACCCGGGUAGUCCACGCCGUAAACGAUGCGGACUAGGUGUCGGGGGUAUCGACCCCCUCGGCGCCGCAGCUAACGCACUAAGUCCGCCGCCUGGGGACUACGGCCGCAAGGCUAAA
This 373-nucleotide ribosomal RNA is filed under the name uncultured bacterium. Its description in RNAcentral is "bacterial SSU rRNA". It matches the Rfam family "Bacterial small subunit ribosomal RNA", at positions 527 to 898 of the family's 1533-position model. The record is from RNAcentral.